GAUGAAGAACGUAGCGAAAUGCGAUACUUGGUGUGAAUUGCGGAAUCCCGUGAACCAUCGAGUCUUUGAACGCAAGUUGCGCCCGAAGCCAUUAGGCCGAGGGCACGCCUGCCUGGGCGUCACACGUCGUUGCCCCCCCAUCUACUCCUUCGGGAUUGCGGGGGGCGGAUGAUGGCCUCCCGUGCGCCUCGUCGCGCGGUUGGCAUAAAUACCAAGUCCUCGGCGACGCACGCCACGACAAUCGGUGGUUGCGAAACCUCGGUUGCCCGUCGUGUGCGGUCGUCGCGCAUCGAGGGCUCGAAAAAAUUGCCGGGCUCCGGCUCGGCUUUCAACGCGACCCCAGGUCAGGCGGGGUUACCCGCUGAAUUUAAGCAUAUCAAUAAGCGGAGGA
This 391-nucleotide unclassified non-coding RNA is filed under the name soil metagenome. RNAcentral describes it as "partial contains 5.8S ribosomal RNA, internal transcribed spacer 2, and large subunit ribosomal RNA". The stretch from base 1 to 122 matches the Rfam family "5.8S ribosomal RNA", at positions 35 to 154 of the family's 154-position model. The record is from RNAcentral.